This 253-nucleotide ribosomal RNA is filed under the name uncultured bacterium. RNAcentral's name for it is "partial 16S ribosomal RNA". It matches the Rfam family "Bacterial small subunit ribosomal RNA", at positions 524 to 776 of the family's 1533-position model. The record is from RNAcentral.
UCCAGAGGGGGCAAGCGUUAUUCGGAAUUAUUGGGCGUAAAGGGCGCGUAGGCGGCCAUUCAAGUGACGGGUGAAAGCCCUCGGCUUAACCGAGGAACUGCCUGUCAGACUGGAUGGCUUGAGACCGGGAGAGGUGAGUGGAAUUCCCAGUGUAGCGGUGAAAUGCGUAGAUAUUGGGAGGAACACCAGUGGCGAAGGCGGCUCACUGGACCGGAACUGACGCUGAGGCGCGAAAGCGUGGGGAGCAAACAGG